This 20-nucleotide unclassified non-coding RNA is filed under the name Mus musculus (house mouse). RNAcentral's name for it is "oocyte_clustered_small_RNA10799". Lineage: Eukaryota; Metazoa; Chordata; Mammalia; Rodentia; Muridae. The record is from RNAcentral.
CGGCGGGAGGGUGAGGCCGG